GGGGACAUAGCUCAAUUGGUAGAGCACCGGCUUUGCAAGCCGGGGGUUGUGGGUUCGAGUCCCAUUGUCUCCAC
Molecule: transfer RNA, 74 nt
Filed under: uncultured Actinomycetes bacterium
Lineage: Bacteria; Bacillati; Actinomycetota; Actinomycetes
Description: uncultured actinobacterium tRNA-Ala
Rfam family: tRNA
About the family: Transfer RNA (tRNA) molecules are approximately 80 nucleotides in length. Their secondary structure includes four short double-helical elements and three loops (D, anti-codon, and T loops).
Source: RNAcentral